AUUCUUUUGUAUUUCAUCUACGUGAUGAUGGGGUCUUCAUGCUCUUGUGUGAGGUGUGCCUCCCUCAAACUGUGUGAGGACCCCAGCAUAUCACCCUUUCCGACA
This is a small nucleolar RNA of Artibeus jamaicensis (Jamaican fruit-eating bat), 105 nucleotides long. RefSeq annotates it as small nucleolar RNA U13. Lineage: Eukaryota; Metazoa; Chordata; Mammalia; Chiroptera; Phyllostomidae. The transcript has a single exon. The record is from RefSeq and is a predicted model, not a curated record.